GGGCCCGUCGUCUAGCUUGGUAGGAUGCGGGGUACACAACCCCGUGGUCCCGGGUUCAAAUCCCGGCGGGCCCACCA
RNAcentral lists this transfer RNA (77 nucleotides) under Pyrodictium occultum. RNAcentral describes it as "tRNA-Val". It matches the Rfam family "tRNA". Rfam says of the family: Transfer RNA (tRNA) molecules are approximately 80 nucleotides in length. Their secondary structure includes four short double-helical elements and three loops (D, anti-codon, and T loops). RNAcentral also lists the same sequence under 1 other name. Lineage: Archaea; Thermoproteati; Thermoproteota; Thermoprotei; Desulfurococcales; Pyrodictiaceae. The record is from RNAcentral.